AAUUUUAGUUGCCUAUUUUUAGGGAGUAAAUUGCUGAAAACACACGUGCUUUGUUACAAUGCUGCUUUUAGGAGAGGGCUGUGGGGCUGUGUGUCAAGAAUUCAAUUAUCUGGUCGUGUCUGUGGCUCUGCAGAAUCAGUUUUGACUCUGGGAGAUCCCUUUGGAUGCACCUCAUCCUGUAUUUCAGGCACAGUGCUCCACUGAAAGUUGUGUCCUCGGAAGAGGCUGUUUUUUAAAGAUCAAGCCUAUUGUUAAACCCACAUUGUCUGCAAUUUGGACAGCUCUUAAUGCAUCUUGAACUCCGAAUCCAGAGAGAUUUGGAUUUAUAGAUUGAAUAAAGGUCUCUAGACAUUUA
Corapipo altera (White-ruffed manakin) is the source of this 355-nucleotide long non-coding RNA. RefSeq lists it as uncharacterized. Lineage: Eukaryota; Metazoa; Chordata; Aves; Passeriformes; Pipridae. The transcript has 2 exons. The record is from RefSeq and is a predicted model, not a curated record.